This 163-nucleotide unclassified non-coding RNA is filed under the name soil metagenome. RNAcentral's name for it is "partial internal transcribed spacer 1". The record is from RNAcentral.
CAGAGUUGCAAAACUCCCACAAACCAUCGCGAAUCGUUACCCAGUACGGUGCCGGGUGGCGGUCGGAGGCCGGGCCCGGCUCGGUCUCCGCUCGGGGGGGGAGCUGCGAACCAAACUCUUGCUAUUUAUUCGUCCUCUCUGAGUAAUAUUUUUAAAUAAGUCA